This 385-nucleotide ribosomal RNA is filed under the name uncultured bacterium. Its description in RNAcentral is "bacterial SSU rRNA". It matches the Rfam family "Bacterial small subunit ribosomal RNA", at positions 1006 to 1392 of the family's 1533-position model. The record is from RNAcentral.
AUAUGGUGUGUCCUUCGGGGUCCACGAUAGGUGGGGCAUGGCUGUCUUCAGCUCUGGUCGUGAGAUGUUGGGUUAAGUCCCGCAACGAGCGCAACCCUUGUCCUAUGUUGCCAGCGGGUAAAGCCGGGGACUCUAGGAAACUGCCCGGGUCAACUCCGAAGAAGGUGGGGACGACGACAACUCAUCAUGCCCCUUAUGUCCAGGGCUGCAAACAUGCUACAAUGGCCGGUACAAAGGGCAGCUAAACCGCGAGGUCGAGCGAAUCCCAAAAAACCGGUCUCAGUUCGGAUUGAAGUCUGCAACUCGACUUCAUGAAGCUGGAGUCGCUAGUAAUCCCGGAUCAGCAACGCCGGGGUGAAUACGUUCCCGGGUCUUGUACACACCG